CUGCUUCCCUGACCAUCUGGCUGAGCCGGGAGCGGAGCCGGAGCUGGAGCGGGAGGGGGAGUCCUGGUCCAGGGUGGGAGGCGGCUGCGGCAGCGGCGGCGUCCCCCUCCAUCCUCUCCCUCCUCCAGCCCUUCCCGGCCCCUCCUCCCCCUCCGCUGCGGCCAGACGCCGCCCCGCCAGCUGCGUCCUGGUCCUGGUUCGGGUCCCGGAGCUAGCGGAGCCGGAGCGGGAGCCCGAGCGGGAGCCAUGGGCUGCGGAAACUCCACAGCCACCAGCGCCAGCGCGGCCCGAGGACAGAAGAAUCAAUAACAGAUGAUGACAAGAGAAGGAACUAUGGAGGGGUCUAUGUUGGCCUGCCGUCAGAUGCUGUCACAAUGGUGUCCAGUCAAACAAAGAGUGCACGAAAAGAUUAGAAGAAAAUUAUAUCCUGAUGUAAUAAACAAGAGGUAUGACAUCUUUGUGAAAUAUUUGUGCAUGUCUCACAUUUAUGAUGACCUAAGUUCUGAUAUUCACCACAUAAACAUGCUUUUCAUUGGGGAUCAGUGGGUAUAUAGCAGAAGUAACACUGUACCUCAGAUAAAGUGGUGGACUUGGAGCCAGGAGCACCUGUAUCCAGAACUUGUGUUUUUGAUACUUACUAGCUGUGUGACCUUGAGGAAACCACAUAAUCUUUAUGAAGCUCAGUUCCCUCAUCUGUAA
This 699-nucleotide long non-coding RNA is filed under the name Phascolarctos cinereus (koala). RNAcentral's name for it is "lncRNA (ENSPCIG00000027475.2)". Lineage: Eukaryota; Metazoa; Chordata; Mammalia; Diprotodontia; Phascolarctidae. The record is from RNAcentral.